RNAcentral lists this transfer RNA (48 nucleotides) under Apodemus witherbyi (Steppe field mouse). RNAcentral describes it as "partial tRNA-Phe". It matches the Rfam family "tRNA", at positions 1 to 48 of the family's 71-position model. Rfam says of the family: Transfer RNA (tRNA) molecules are approximately 80 nucleotides in length. Their secondary structure includes four short double-helical elements and three loops (D, anti-codon, and T loops). The record is from RNAcentral. Lineage: Eukaryota; Metazoa; Chordata; Mammalia; Rodentia; Muridae.
GUUAAUGUAGCUUAAUAACAAAGCAAAGCACUGAAAAUGCUUAGAUGG